GCCGAAGUGGCGGAACUGGCAGACGCGCAGGAUUCAAAAUCCUGUCCUGGCAACAGGGUGAGGGUUCGACUCCCUCCUUCGGCA
Molecule: transfer RNA, 84 nt
Filed under: Phycisphaerae bacterium
Lineage: Bacteria; Pseudomonadati; Planctomycetota; Phycisphaerae
Also listed under: 2 other names
Description: tRNA-Leu
Rfam family: tRNA
About the family: Transfer RNA (tRNA) molecules are approximately 80 nucleotides in length.
Source: RNAcentral